AUUGGGAAGAGAAAAACACUUAUAAGUUCUCAAAAAACAAUGAAUCUCCCUUUACAACGUGGUAGGGCUCCCCUUUUAUAGUGACCCGUAAGCCACUUUACAUCCUGAAAAUGUCCUUUCUCACCUACUAGAUUCCUAGGAUAUGCCGUACAUAAAGGUCAUUGGGGUAACGUGUACAAAUUGAAUUCUCCUAUGUUGUCACGCUUCUCAUGCCUUUAUGUUGUCACGCUUCUCAUGCCUUCAUGUAGUCACGCUUCUCACAUCUUCAUCUUCUUAACCUCGAGACUUCUUCUCUGCACUAGAUCAAGUUUUAAACCUCAU
Molecule: long non-coding RNA, 321 nt
Filed under: Setaria viridis
Lineage: Eukaryota; Viridiplantae; Streptophyta; Magnoliopsida; Poales; Poaceae
Description: long non-coding RNA (SVIR_LNC004887)
Source: RNAcentral